Molecule: ribosomal RNA, 654 nt
Filed under: uncultured bacterium
Lineage: Bacteria
Description: bacterial SSU rRNA
Rfam family: Bacterial small subunit ribosomal RNA (bases 1-545)
Source: RNAcentral
CCUACGGGAGGCAGCAGUAGGGAAUAUUGGGCAAUGGACGGAGGUCUGACCCAGCCAUGCCGCGUGGAGGAAGACGGCCCUCUGGGUUGUAAACUCCUUUUAUCAGGGAAGAAGAGCAGCUAUGCGUAGCUGUGUGACGGUACCUGAGGAAUCAGCACCGGCUAACUCCGUGCCAGCAGCCGCGGUAAUACGGAGGGUGCAAGCGUUGUCCGGAUUUAUUGGGUUUAAAGGGUGCGUAGGUGGCCUGUUAAGUCCGCUCUGAAAGUUGGUCGCUUAACGAUCAAGGGUGGGUGGAUACUGGCGGGCUUGGAUCAGGUGGCGGUUUCUGGAACGGGUCGUGUAGCGGUGAAAUGCAUAGAUAUGACCCAGAACUCCGAUUGCGAAGGCAGGAGGCUACGCCUGGAUUGACACUGAGGCACGAGAGCAUGGGGAGCAAACGAGGAUUAGACUACCCGUGGUACGUCCAUGACCGUAAACGAUGAUUACGUGACUGUGUGGAGCGUGUCCGUCGUCGUGGUUGUAGCGAAGACGUUAAGUUAAGUACCGUACCGUACGGGGUAGGUAACGGUCGUCGUUCGAAGUAGUUAGUUAACGUACGAAGGAAGUUAGGACGGGACGUUAGAGACGNGCGACGGACGACGACGAGGGAGGAGG